RNAcentral lists this ribosomal RNA (426 nucleotides) under uncultured bacterium. Its description in RNAcentral is "bacterial SSU rRNA". It matches the Rfam family "Bacterial small subunit ribosomal RNA", at positions 354 to 796 of the family's 1533-position model. The record is from RNAcentral.
GUGGGGAAUAUUGCACAAUGGGGGAAACCCUGAUGCAGCGACGCCGCGUGGAGGAAGAAGGUCUUCGGAUUGUAAACUCCUGUCAUUCGGGACGAAUAAUGACGGUACCGGAUGAGGAAGCCACGGCUAACUACGUGCCAGCAGCCGCGGUAAUACGUAGGUGGCGAGCGUUGUCCGGAAUUACUGGGCGUAAAGGGCGCGUAGGCGGUCUGCUAAGUCAGAUGUGAAAACCCCGGGCUCAACCUGGGGAUUGCAUUUGAAACUGGCAGACUAGAGUGUCGGAGAGGAAGGCGGAAUUCCUAGUGUAGCGGUGAAAUGCGUAGAUAUUAGGAGGAACACCAGUGGCGAAGGCGGCUUUCUGGACGAUAACUGACGCUGAGGCGCGAAAGCGUGGGGAGCAAACAGGAUUAGAAACCCUAGUAGUCC